RNAcentral lists this unclassified non-coding RNA (685 nucleotides) under Hevea brasiliensis (rubber tree). The record is from RNAcentral. Lineage: Eukaryota; Viridiplantae; Streptophyta; Magnoliopsida; Malpighiales; Euphorbiaceae.
CAAAAACUCAGAAUUCUCUUCCUUGUCGUGUAACGGCCAACCUUAACCCUUUUGGGCAAGGUCGACCCAUUCUUCACCAGCUUGGUCUUGAGUUUGCUUUCCUUGCCAUCAGGUGUUCUAAGGAAACAGUGGAGCGUCAGUCUGAGCUUUCAUUGCUGCUAAGGGAGAGGGGCAAACUUUGGUUAGUAGCAUCUCCUUUGCGUCCCAGAACGAUAUCAAAUGGGCCGCCUGGAAAAGCGCGAGUGAGAAGUCAAAGAAAACUACCAUAGCCAACCUUUACUAGUUUUAGAGAUAGUCCACGACUUCCCUCAAAUCCUUGGCCUAAGGUUCCUUGUGCUUUGUUUGUUGAUGGUUCCUACUCAACCUCCAUGCUUCUUUAGGGACGCUUUUGUAGGGGACCCUUCCUCAUGGUAUUGCAUGUUUUUUCUUCUAGUAGGCGAGGUAGAUUCCUAGAAAGCUGCUCUUGGCGACGCCGGUGGCACUAUGUUUUUGGCUAUAUAGGUUUUCCUACAGUGGUUGUCUACCUAGAACUUCUUGAUACUGAGGCACAGCCCUUGUAUUUCCAGUCUUAAUUUGAUUUUUUGUGGCUGGAGGUUAGGCUUCUUUAAUGUAGGAUCAUUUGCAUUCUAGGCUUGGCCUUGGUUUUCAACUUGUAAUGGUCUCAGUGCCCCUGAAUUUCAUCGAU